UCUGGCAGAAACUUUACUGACUUAGAAGCAGCUGAACUCACUGCUGGGGUCCUCGGUUCCUCGGGUCCGAACCUACAUAGGUGGACUCAAAUGAGAGACCAAACAACUAGAACAUAACUCUAACAACAUCCCCCAAAAACCCCCAAAAACACCUCAAAACAAUCAUGCAAAAACAUGCAAAGGAAGGCAGAACAGGGCAGGUUCGGCGGCACCUUCGGCGGCCGAAAGUCCCAGACAGAGACGAAAGUCUCUUUUCGGGGGCAACUUCGGCAGCCGAAAGGCCUGCCUCCCCAGCCAUGUUCGGCGGCCGAAAGUUCCUUCGGCUGCCGAACCUGGUUUCUGCCAAAGGGCAGAAACUUGGCUCCUUUAAGCACAUUUGCCUCCAAAACUUCCAAUCAUACAUUUAGCUCAACCAAAACAUGCAAAUAUACAUACAUUGGCUCCUAGGGGCUUCAAACUAACUUAAACCCCAACUACAACACACAAUAAUAACACAAAUCCAACAUACAUUGCUCAAAACAUAACAUUAACUCAAAAACCUAACUAUGAGCUAAACAUGCAUUCUACCCCAUAGAUCUUUUAUAAAACUUACUUUAAACAUGAAAUGAGCUUAAGAUCGGCUCUUACCUCUUGAAGAUCGAGAGAGAGACGUCCUAGACUCGGAGGUGGGAGAUUUUUGAGUUCUUGAACCUCAAAACUCCAAAACUUGCUUUAAACUCGAAAAUCUUCAAAACAACGUAAAAACUUGUGAAAAUCUUGAAAGAUUUGAAGGAAAGAACUCAAGGAUGGUGAGGAACGGCGGAAGGGCUCACCUUGGCCGAAAAUGGGGAGAAAGCUCGCCCAUUUCGGCUAAGGGGCUCUUUUAUAGUGGCUGGCCAGGCCACAUUCGGGAGCCGAACGUGCCCCCGCAUGCAUGCCAUGUUCGACGGCCGAACUUGAGGUUCGGCGGCCGAACCUGGGCUUCCCUCACUUAUGCUUUCGAGGGCCUAAGGCUCACCCGAAAAGCAUGCAUGUUCGGCGGCCGAACUUGAGUUUCGGCGGCCGAACCUGAGUUUCCUCCAAUGGUGUUUUUAUUCAAAAACUCAAUUGCUCUUUACUUAAAAUCAUCAAAAACAUUAAAACAUUUCAUGGAAACAUGGUUUUACCCUUCUAGAGGUCUCCGACAUCCGAGAUUCCACCGGACGGUAGGAAUUCCGAUACCGGAGUCUAGCCGGGUAUUACAGUCGUCUACAUACAAUGAUAAGUUUACUAAUUUAUUCUUGGAUCUUUUUGGUAUAUUUACAAUGAUCCUUAUUGAUCAUAAUGAAAUCAUAAGACCCGACUGUAUUAUGAAAUCUAAUAUACCACAGUCUCGAAGACUGUUUAAGGCUCUAGAAUGACUUUAAGAAUCUAAACACUUUGUGUUCUUAGCUAUUUACACCGAAACCUAUGGGUUGUUUUUCAUAUACAUUUUAAUUCUCCAUUUGAGAAAAAAAAUAAUCUUCAUAUCUAUUUGAUAUAAUUUAAGAUCUAAAUUAGUAACUAAUGCAAUAAAAAAAAAACUUAUCGAGGUAAACCUUACAACAAUUUAAAAAAAAAACUUAUAAUUCUUUUCCUUCAUAUUGUGUAUACCCCUAGCUACCAAAUGAGUUUUAUAUCUCUUGAUAUUGCUGUUAGCCUUACGCUUCACUUUGAGAAUCUACUAAUUCUCAAUGGCUUUAUGUCCUCAUGGCAACUUUACAUUGACCAACUCUUCAUUGAUUUCAUUUUUCAUUCCAUUGUUUUAAUUCAUUUUUUUCAUAGCUAAAGGUCUAAGAGUUUAAGAAAUACAUUUCUCACCUCAUCUCUAUCAGCAGUAACAAUAAAUACUUCCCUUUCAAUCUUAAAAUGAUAACUAAAAAUCAUUAGAUAACUUGUUCAUCAUAGCUGAGAUUAAUCUAUUGACUCAUCAAUAGGCAUGUUACUCCUACUUGGACCAAAUUCUUUGACAAGACUUACUUUAGAAAGCAAUUAUGAAAUUAAUAACCAUAUAUAUUUGUAUCCAAAUUGCUCCCACUCGGAAGUAUAUCCAUCAAACUUUUUAUAGCGAAAGCAGCCUUGUCGCAAGUUUAAUUUAGAGGUAAGACUUAUCCUAUCUUCACAUACUUUAAAAAAAAAUUCUGAAAAUGUGAUAUCCUAUUAUUCAAACUCAAUUAUACUUUCAUCCUCUUAUUCACUAAAGAACAUAUAUCCUUUUAACUGCUCAAAAUGUCUAAGAAAGAACAUGUCCUUCCUCUUAGACCUAAAAAUUAUGAAGGUUCCUAAGUAAUUUUAUAACCUUGUGGUUUUAAAGUCCACAAAUAAAUUCGUGUUUAGUCCAUAAUUCAUAUGGAAUGGAAGUUACUAAUUACGUGGUUAUUAGAUUGAGCUCAAUUGUAAUUACUAAUAAUGUAUAACCCCAAUACAUGAUUGAUAAAAUUAGCUUAUCUCAUUAUUGAUCUAAUCUAAUAGGAUUCUAUUUCUUCUCUCUAUUACAUAAUUCCUAAAUUGCUUUGACAUAAAUUUUUUACCUUGAUUGAUUCUUAAAGCUUUUAAUUUUUUGUAUAAUUAAUUCUCAACUAAAUCCAAAAAUUUAAUGAAGCAACUUAAAGUCUCAUUUAGUGAGAUAUCAAAUAGACCUAACCUUACAAUAAAUAGUCAUUAAUUACAAAAUAGAUGCUCCUUAUACCUAGCCCCACAUGUAUAGAAUCACAUUGAUUAGAAUAGAUUAAUUGCAAUAGAAAUUCAGCUCUUAUUUUCUCACAAAAAAAGUUUCCUCGAUAUUUUCAAAUUGAGCAAUAUUUACAAAUGGAUAUAUCUACUUUGUUAAUACUACUUAAUAGGCUCUAUUUGGCUAAUCACUACAUAUCUUUUAACCUAUUGAUCAAGCCAAGAUUAGUACCAUUUUUCAUAUUGUUAUUUAUAUUACUUUACACAUUUUCUACCUAAUUUUGUGAUUUUGAUCUUAUUUUGCAUAAAGUGGUGUAAAAGGGUAAUUUGGUAAAAAUGGCCUUAAAACUGCCCAAAAGAGAGCAAAAGAGAACAAGCUGGUUUGCCCAAACCAAAGUUGAAGCUGAAAUGGGAGAAGAAUAAUCUGUUGUUUGACCAGACUGUUUGCCCAAACAGACUGGGUAAACAGACCAGCAGGACAGAAGCAGUGCACAGACAGCAAGGAAAACAGACUGUUUACUCGAGCUGUUUGCCCAAACAACCCAGGCAAAUAGCACUUGCACCGGCAGACAGCAGUUGCGGGAAAUUUGAAUUUUGAAUAUUUAAGAAGUCUUCUCCACACCAAACACGUGAAGACAGCUCAACAAGUCAAUGAUACACCUCAGCACUCUAACCUAUAUAUUUAAGAAGCCAAAUCUCAAGAAGAUAUACUUGCCUUCCAAGAAUUCAAGUCCAAAUAGGAAAAGGAGUUUCAUCUCAACAAGGAAACUUAGGGCAACCUCUUCAGCUAUAAAAGGAAAAGCAAACCAGUAAAGAAUCAUUUUUGGAUUAUAUCUCCAUCUUCGGCAGAACCACAGUAGCAGUUGCGCGCACCAGCUGCCAGCCCUUCUUCUUCCUUUUUCUUUUUUUCUUUCUUUAUUUUCUUGUUAGUGGCUGAAACCCUUAUUUCUAGUUGAAGAUUAGGUGAAACUUCAAGUUGUUUAUGGAUUGUGAGAUCUGAACUUAUUAUGUUCUUUUAUUUAUCAAUAUUUAUGCAAUUUCAUGCUUAAUUCUAUUAUUGCUUUGUUGUUUAGAUCAAUAGAGCCCAUUGACUCUUGAUUGCAAAGUAAUAACUUGUUAGUUUGGAUAGUUUUAAGUCCGUAAUUGCUUGAAUUAUUCAAACACAAGAACACUUGGUGUAAAAACUAAGGAAAUUGCAUGAUCUAGUAAUAUCACCAUACGUUUGGGUAGCUAGAAUUAGGUCUCUCUAUUUUUUAAUGCAAUUAACGGUUGUUAGAUGCCAAAGGCUCCAAGAACGUUCCUUAGCAGCUUGUUGAUUAGUGAUUAAUUAGAGGACGUUCCCUAAUUAGUCUAUGCUUAAGGAGGGAUAUGGAGGUGAGAAGCGUCUUCCACCUCCAUAACUAAUUUAUUGAGUCAAAUAAGAGAAUUUAAGUUUCAAUGAUCAAUCCCAACAACUGAAGUAGAUUCAAUUCUUCAACUAGAGAUUUUCUCAUUAUUGAAUCUCUUUACUUUAUUAUUUGCUUUUCUUUAUUACUUUCAAUAUUAGCUUAGUUUAUCAAACCUCAAACCUUCCCAUUUUACUUUUAUUGUCUAUUUAUUUACUUGGUCAUUGAUAGGAAGAUAAGUAAGUAUCAAGUCCCUGUGGAUUCGAUCCUUUUACCGCUAUCUACAGUUAUAAAAUUGUGGAUAACCAAAAAGGUUAUUUUUGACCGGCUUCGACAACCGCACAGUCACCUAUGUAGCCAAGCAAAGCAUGUCACAUAUUUACAUCAUUUAUAGAUAUAUUAAACGAUAUGAAAUAGGAAAAACAUAUACUCUGGGAGUUACUUAUAACAUCUGAAGCCAAUAUAACUAUUCAAAAAAAAAAAAUCUAGAACCACUAGAACUUGUACUUUAAAUAAUUUUACAGCUUUUUCAUAAAAAAUAUAACCAACAUAGAAACUUAAUUCCAAUGAAUUUAUUAAAUAAAUUGGAUAUUAUUUAGGAGCAGGAUCCACCUACUACAUAUAGUAAGCUUGCAAGUGUUUAAACCCUUCACCACUUUGGAGUUAUUUCCUAACGAAUAUCCAACUUCUCCAUAGAAGAAGUCAUCAAAAUUCUACGAAAGUAUUCUGAUCCUGUUAUAUACAUUCAAAACAUUUAAAUCUUAUCAAUAUUUUCCUUUUGCUAUCUGAAAGGACCCUUUGCCCUUCCUUUAUUGUUGUUUCUUAUUGGACUAAACUCUUAUAUUUUACUAGUUUCUACCUUGAUAUUUUCACUAGUUCCCCACUUGGCAUAUUCAUUAAUGAAUUCCAUUACAAGUUGUCUAUAAGAUCUGAUGACCUUCUCUUAAGUAGAAUCCAAAAAUUCUUUUACAUUGGAAUUAAGCAACACGGUCCUUAAAGAACACAUAUCUUUCUCUGUCUUGUAAAAUACCAUGUUUCCAUAUAAUCAGUUGCAUCCUAUCAUUCACAUUGAUGAUAAACUACACUAGAUGGUUUAUCUCAUCUGAAGUGUCUAUAGGAACCAUCUCGAAGAUGAUCAUCUAUCUAAUAAUCUCAUCUACCUAAACUCUUUAUUUAGUAGAAGUGUUUGUAUGGGUCCAGAAUGACCUGCAUCCCAUUGGAAGCUGACAUUAUACUUCUGUACACAAGAAAAUAAAAUAAUAAUCCGCAAAAUAAAAAAAAAGAUAGCAACAACAUUAACAAAAAACACUUCGGACAUUUUUCCAAAAAAUAUUUAAUAAUAAUUUAAAAAUAUUAAAAAAUAAUUAUAUAAAAAUGCCUAAUUUCAAUUUUUUUAUAAAUGUCACUCAUCAAAAGAAUUUUUUUUAAUAAAUUUUGGACCAAGAAUUUAUUUUUUUUAUUUUCUUGUUUUAUUUUUUUAAAAAAUUCCUUAAAAGAAAAAACAGACUGGGCCUGCUAAACCCAGGCGCAAGCGCUUGGGCUAGCAAGCGCUUGGGCUGGCAAGCCCAGCGCUUGUGCCCCGCUGAGUCUAGGCUGUUAAGCCUAAACUUGCGCCUAUUGUGCGAGGGUGGUGUGUGUGAUGCACGCGACAUGCCCUGCCUUUUAGGCCCUUAAAGCUGCCUAUUUCUUCUUCAGUAGAUUUUCAGGUACUCUGAAUCAUUAUGUGGUGUCAAAUUUUAUAAAAAAUUAACUUAUCCUAUAGUUUAGAUUCACCUACCCUUUAUUGUAAAUAAAACAUGUUCUAGAAAUAUCCUAAAAGAAAGAAAUUAUAUCUAAAAAGGAUCUCAACUUUGAUCGUUUAUCUCUCAGCCAAUAUAAAUAAAAAAAUUCGUAUAAUUAUCGUUGAAAAACUUAUUUCAAGAGCUUUUCAAUAAUACUUGAUGUAACACAAUAAUCAUCCAAAGUAAGCAAUAAACUGACACUAUAAGACAGGACCACGUGGUAAGGGUCUGAUAAGCCGAUAUGCAGUCCUACCCAUGGAAAGGAAGAUCUGGACACCGUAGCACCCGGUUCUCUAUCAAGACUCGCCUUAUUCAGAAAAGGUCGAGUCUUCACAUAAAAUUACUGUUGGUAGGUACAAUCUAGCAGAUCUCCAUUACUCUAGUAAUUAUGGAAUCUCCAAUUAAUUAGCCAGUAGGAUCCCUUAUUAAUUAGCCAACACUCGCCAUAUUUCUAGAAAAUAUUAUAAUUAACUCCAUCUUCUUACAGUAUAAAAGCUAAUGAUUGCAGAGACAAAGGUACGCUAUUCUUUUACAUAACUACUCUUGAGUUCUAAGCAAUUCCUUAUACCCGCCCUAUUCUUCAGUUUACUGACUUGACGGAGUGGCUGUCAUAGGUAUUAAUCACCUCACAUUCUCUCUCCUGUAGGGUUGACCAAUCACAACACAUCUCCUUUUCGGCUACAUCAUUUGGUUCUAUUGCCGGGAACUCCAUUGAAUUCUCUCUGUUCAUUUAGAUUAAAAUCGGUCCCUUAUCCCCUAUCACUUAAAAAGAAAUCUUUUUUUUUUCUUUCUCUCGAAAUGGCUGGUAGUUUAUGAGCUAUUGCUAAGGUUACUACCAAAUGAAGGCGCUAUUAUUUCUUUCACUCCUAACACUGGACAAAACACACCCUCAAUGGUUAAUGAAGCAAAUCUCAACAAUCUGAACAAUGAGUAAAUGCUCUAAUACAUCAAAAGGUUGCAGGCUACCUCGAGUAAUACAAAGCUCAAGGGUAGGUGUCAUUCAUGGCUCCUAGGAAAAGGGAGGAAGCCUCCAUUGAUACCCCAAAGACUCGGAUAGAAGCGAUCCUUACACGGUCUAUGGGAAAGGACGAGUUCGACGAAGAAGGAUUGCCAGACAAUGCUCUGAAGGACGCUGACUGGAAGCUAGUACGGGUUGUUCAAAGGUACCAAAAGGAACAAGAGGAUGACUAUGGCCUGGACAAUGCCUCACCCCUGUCAUAAGAGAUCUUAGUAGAAACUUUUCCAACUAAGUUCAAACUGUCUAGUUUGAAUAAAUAUGAUGGAACAGUAGAUUCCAAAAGUCACCUGACAAUCUUUAGGAUGACCAUGCAGCUUCAAGAUGUCAAUGACUUCAUGUUGUGCCUAGUGUUUCCAUAAACACUCACAGGUUUGGCUAAAAAAUGAUACCAACAUUUGAGCCCAAGUUUAAUUCAGAACUUUACGCAAUUCACAAUGUUAUUUAAAUUCAGGUUUAUUACUUGCAUACCUCUUAAAAAACUCUCAUCUGACUUGCAGAAGAUCUGCCAAGGAAAAGGCGAGUCUUUAAGGAGUUUUAUCUCAUGGUUUAAUGUAAAAACAAUACAGAUAGAGGAAUUAAAUCAUGAGAUAGGAUGUGGAGUAUUGAAGAAAGGAACACGUAGCGUCAAGUUCAUAGAUUUCCUAAUUAAAAAUCCAGCCACUACAUACCAAUAGUUGAUGGACAAAAUUUAGAAGUGUAUCAGGCUUGAUGAUGAAGUUUGAGCGUUGAGAGAGGAUGAAGGGACAGGUCAAAACCAAAGUCAAAAGCUAGAGAGGCGAGAGUAUAAAGGAGACCGUAGAAGUUACCUAAUCUCUCGAAGAAGGGACAACCAAGGUAAGUAUGAGAAUUACACUCCGCUGAAUGACUUAUGGACAAAUAUUUUAAUGUAGAUCAGAAAAAAUAGCAAAGAUAUCAAAUGACCCACCAAGCUUAACUCGAACAAGUCAGGCAUGCAAGAUAGAAUAAAGUAUUACCGAUUUCAUGAGGAUCAUGGGCACACUAUGGAAGAAUGCUAGUAGCUAAAAGAGGAAAUUGAGAGACUAAUAAGAGAUGGCAAGCUCUGAAGGUUUUUUUUUUUUUUAUAAAAGAUAGAGAAGAAAAGAGGUUAGGACCUAGGGUAAUAACACUUGUCAAACCUGAUGAAAAUAAACCCGUGGGGGUUAUUCACGUACUUGCCGGAGGACCGAGUGGAAAUAAUGGUCUAUAGAAGUAGAAUGUUACAGAUAUUCAGCUCUUGAGUCAAACUCCGAGUUUUGAAAUUGGUCAAGUUAGAUGACCGAGCCUUUUAAAUUAUUCUUGAAAGAAUGCCUAUAAUUUAUGGAAAUGUUACUAAACUAUGAUAUAUUCUUCAAACUUUUUUUUGAUUUUUGAUAUCAGACACGUUGGAUGGAUGAAAGCGUGGAGACAAGAGCAAAGCCAUAAGGCAAGAAUCUGCUAGGCCAUAAUCCGGGUGUUAAUUCUGCUAAUAAAGAAAUUUUAUGCCAGGCCACAGGGCAAGUUUCGUUAGACCAUAAUCUGAGUGUUAGUCCUGCUAAACAAGGUAUUUUAUGCCAGGCCACAGGGCAAGUUCCGUUAGACUAUAAUCUGAGUGUUAGUCCUGCUAAACAAGGCAUUUUAUGCCAGGCAACAAGGCGGGCUUCACGAGGCCACAAUCUUGGUGUUAGUCCCAUUAAUUAAAGCAUCUUAUACCAAGCCACAAGGCAAGUUGACUCGCGGUUAUCGAAGCCGGUCAAAAAUAACCUUUCUGAUUAUCAACAAUUUACAACUGCAGAUAGUGGUGAAAGGAUCGAAUCCACAGAGAAUUGAUUACCAAUCUAUUUUUCUCAACAAGACCAAGAGAAUUAACUGAAAGCACAAUUGAAAGUAAGUAACUGAAAGCAGAAUAGAAGUAAAGUGCAGUAAAAGUAAAAAGGGGGGUUUUGAGAUUGAUUUGAUUAACAACUACUGAAAGCAAUUAAAUCACUACUGAAAGCAAUUAAACCAGCAACUAAUUAAAAUAAAAGAGAAUUCAAUAUGAGAAAGGUCUAGUUGAAGAUAUGGAUCCACCUUGGUUGUUUGGAUUGAUCAUUAAAACUUAGUUAUCUUGAUUGAUUCAAUAGAUUAGUUAUGGGGGUGGAAGACGCUUCUCACCACCAUGUCUCUCCUUAUGAAUAAAUCAAUUAGGGAAUGUUCUCUAAUCAAUUACUAAUCAACAAAUUUCCAAAGAACGUCCUUGGGCCAUAGGCAUCAAAACAAUUGUCAAUUGCAUGAAGAAAUAGAGAGAUCCAAUCCUAGCUACUCCAAACGCAUGAAGAUGGUGCUAGAUCAUACAAUUUCUUGGUUUUUACACCAAGUGUUCUUAGAUCAGAAUAUUUUCAGCAAUUACGGACUAAAAAAAUAUCUCAACUAACAAUUUAUUACCUUGCAAUCAAGAAUCAAGUGGUCAAUUUGAUCAAAACAGCAAAGCAAUCUUGGAAUUAAAGCAUCAAUUGCAUGAAUAUUGAACAAAAUCAAAGACAAUAGUUUAUGAUCAGAUCUCACAAUCCAUUAAACAACCUUAGUUUCAACCAAUUCUCAACUAGAAUAGGAGUUUCAGCCACUCAUGGCUGAACCAAAACAGAAAAUUAAAGAAAAGAAGAAGAAAGAGGAACCGAUUUGAUGGAAAAGCCUUGGAGUGUGGCUGCCCUUGCUUGGCCGAAUUUGGGGAGUUGAAUUCUGCCUCUUCUAGGCUGCUUGAAGGCUUUAAAUAUGUCUUGGGAGGCUGCCUAGGGUUUCAUGGCAGUCCAUGAGUCUUUUAGAGGCUGCCUAAAGUGCCCUUGGUCCAACAUGUGCCUUCUAUGUGCAUGUGUGAAGGAAAAAACGUGGAGCAUGUCUUGAAUUGCAAGUGGGGGCUCUUUAGUCUUUUAAUUGCUGUCCAAGGUCUUCAAUAUACUGCCCAAGGUGUGUCCAAGAGGCUUCCCAAGUGUCAAGUUGCUGCCCAAGUGUCAAGUUGCUGCCCAUGCAAAAAUAAGGAAGGUGGAGCCUCCUUUUGCAAUUUUAAAUUUUGAAUGUGCAAGGCAUGUGUGGCAUGUGUGACUUUCUUUGGCUUCUUUGGCAAGCUGAAUCUUGAAAUUCAAUAUUUGAAUAUGAAUCUUGAAGAUUUAAAUUUCAAAAUACUUUCCUUGUUUGGCUCUCCAUUUAUGGCAACUUGAGAUAUGAUUUCUUGAAUAAGGAAAGAAGGCAACUUGAGAUUUGAAAUUUGAAUUUCAAAUUGCUUUGGCUGAAUGUUCUUUCCUUCUUUGGCACUUUUCUUAUUUAGAACUUUCUAUAUUGAGCUUUUCUUGAUUUCAACUUGGCAGGCUUGCUCUCUUUUGCUCCAAAUAAGGCAGUUUUAGGGGCAUUUUCUCCAAAGUGUCCUUUUACACCAUUUUCUGCAAAAUAAUACCAAGAGCACUAAAUUAAGCAGAAAUCAUGUAAAUAAUCAUCAAUAAUAUCAAGAUAAAAUGGACUAGAAUAUGUUCUAUCAAAUACCCCCACACUUAGCCUUUUUCUUGUCCUCAAGCAAAUAAACAUAGUCAAAUAAGCUUUCUUUGCUCUAAAUCCUUAUUUCCACUUAAGCUCUUACUCAAGACACCUAUUUUGAAUCAUUGCAGUGAAGAAUAUAUGCAUGAAGAUUACUCAACUUCUUUCCUUGUUUCCCUUUACUUACCAUGGCUAGGAUCUAUUUUCCUCAAGAGAGACCAUACAUGCACAUUAUUUGUUCAGAUAAGACUUUUUCUAGCUUUCAGAGUGACUUGUCCUUACCUUGAUGUACUUUAUUUAGGCUUUUGCACUUAGAUUUUGCUUGAAAAAGUCACCAACCUUUUGACGUGAAGGUACAUAUUUGUGAUACCCACCUCCAGUUACUCAGUUGGUCACCUGUCCAAGUGGCUACUAGCUCUGUUCGUAGUCUUUUGACCAUUGGAACAGUUUUUUAAGUUUGUGCUUUUGAGGUCUUUGCCUUUGCUAAAUUUUCUUUUUCUCAAUGAUUUGGGCAAAUCAACACCAAUUGCUAAAUCAAGUUAUGUUAAGUUCAUUUACACAAAUUUCAAUUCAUUCUCUUCAAUUGAGGGUCAUCAAUAUAUUUUUCACCAUAGCAAGCUCAACGAUUCAAUUCAAAAGGCAAUUCUCAAACAUGAAUAUAACUCACUGCAAUUGAUUCAACAUAAGUUUAAAGAGUCAUCACAUCAAUGGAGUCAUGGCAAGAAAACUCAUCCAACAUAGUUCAUCAGUUUGAGUAAAACAAAUCAAAAAGAAGAAGAAGGUUGUGGUUGUGUGUGUGUUAUUGAAAGCAUAAAACAAACAAAAAGAAAACUGAAAGCAUAAAUCGCAUAACUGAAAGGAAAAAUCGGAAAGAAAAUAAAAUUUUUUUCGCAAAUCUGAAAGGGAUCUUGCGCAAAACUGAAAGGAAAGAGGAGAAGAAGAAAGAAGAAGAAGAAGAGAAGUAAGAAGAGAUAUGCACCCCCACACUUAAAUCAUGCAUUGUCCUCAAUGUAAAAGAAAAGAGAAGAACAAAGGAAUCUGAAUACUCCCCUGGGGUGUGGUGUGCAUGGCGUGAUCACUAGGCAGACUGAGAUGGUUUUUGUAGUGGAAUUUCUUCUACUAUUUGUACUGCGAAUCCUUCAUAGAAAGGUUUCAGGCGAUGGCCAUUCACCUUGAAGAUUUUUCCUAUCUCUACACUACGAAUUUCUACAGCUCCAUGUGGAUAAGCAUGUUCCACAAUGAAUAGUCCAAUCUACCUAGACCGUAGCUUACCUGGAAACAAUUUUAAACGAGAGUCAAAGAGUAAGACUUUAUCACCAACCUUAAAUUGUUUUCUUGAAAGCUGACUGUCAUGGGAGGCUUUGGUUUUUGCUUUGUAGUUCCAAGAGUUCUCAUAUGCAUCUCGUCUGAUUUUCUCUAGUUCUUGCAGUUGCAACUUGCGAUGUUGUCCAGCUUCUUUGAGGUCCAUGUUGUAAUUCUUUACAGCCCAAUAUGCCUUGUGUUCAAGUUCAACUGGAAGGUGACAAGCUUUUCCAUAGACCAAUCUAUAAGGAGACAUACCUAUGGGGGUCUUGUAAGCUGUCCUGUAGGCCCAUAAAGCGUCCGCCAAACUUGAGCUCCAAUCCUUGCGGUUGGGAGAAACUGUCUUUUCAAGGAUGGCUUUGAUUUCUCUAUUGGACACUUCAACUUGCCCAUUUGUCUGAGGAUGGUAGGUUGUGGAUGUCCUAUGUAUGACAUUAUGUUUUCUGAGGAGGCUCUCUACUACCUCAUUGCAAAAGUGGGCCCCUCUGUCACUGAUGAUUGCCUUUGGUACUCCAUGUCGAGCAAAGAUGUUGGUCUUCACAAAGUCUAUCACUACUUUGGCAUCAUCAGUCUUUGUUGCUCUAGCUUCCACCCAUUUGGACACAUAAUCCACUGCAAGGAUGAUGUAAGUGUAUCCAAAGGAUGGUGGGAAUGGGCCCAUGAAGUCUAUAUGCCAUACAUCAAACACAUCACAGACCAUGAUGGGGUUCUGUGGCAUUUGAUUUCUUUUGCUCAGAUUUCCAGUCUGUUGACACCUAGCACAAGAUCUGCAAAAGAGAAAGGCAUCUCGAAAAAUAGUGGGCCAAAACAGACCACUUUCAAGUAUCUUAUGAGCAGUCUUUCUUGGACCAAAGUGUCCACCACAACUAUAUGAAUGACAAAAAGUGAGAACUGAAGCUAUUUCUUGGUCUGGAAUACAUCUCCUUAUUAUUUGGUCAGCACAAUGUUUCCACAAAUAUGGCUCAUCCCAAACAUAGUAUUUGGCAUCUUUCUUUAUCUUAUCUUUGGUGUGUUUUGGCAUGUCAGAAGGAAAGUUACUUGUGGCCAGAUAGUUUACCAUGUCUGCAUACCAUGGUUCAUCAGAUUGGGCAAGGAAGAUUUGCUUAAGUAUGUCAUUGUUAUAUUCUUCAGAUUCUGAGAGGUGUUGCAAGGGUGUCUGCACAGAGGUGGUUUCAGAAGUCUCCUUUUGCGCAGGACUUGACUGUAGAGGAGGUGGCGUAGAACUGGAUUCAGAGGUCUCUUCUUGCGCAAGACUGGACUGAGAGGGAAGUGGAAAGGAGCUGAUUUGCGUGGGAGGCUGAAAGGGUGUGCCUGAAAGGCUUUCAGGUGCCUCUUUCUACGCAAUGCCCUUCUGCGCAUUCUUCUGAAGAGGUGCUUUAGAGGUUCCUUCAUUCUGUGCUUUUCUGACUCUCAUUCCUGCAAAGGUCAUCAUUCAGAAUACAAUCUUGAUUCUCAUCAAAUAUUUCCUGGCUUAAGCAGUUAAUAAUAUCAAGACCAUAAACAGGGGACAUAUCAUGUAGAUAUUUCAUAGCAUCAUAGACAUUGAAUUUAAUGACUUCCCCUUCAAACUCCAUACUCAAAGUACCAUUAUGCACAUCAAUCUUAGUCCUAGCAGUACUCAAGAAAGGUCAUCUAAGAAGGAUAUCAGAACUAGUAUUGCAACUAUCUUCCUUAGUAUCAAUCACAUAAAAAUAUACAGGAAAGACAAGUUCAUCUACUUGCACUAACACAUCUUCUAGAACACCUAUGGGAUAUACCACAGAUCUAUUAGCUAAUUGAAUCACAACUCUUGUGUCUUUCAGUGCACAUGCAUUCAGAGAUUUGUAGACGGAAAGAGACAUGACAUUAAUGGAUGCACCAAGAUCACACAUGGCUUUUUUAAUACCAACAUUCCCUAUCUUGCAAGAAAUAAUAAGCAUACCUUUGUCUUUGCAUUUAGUAGGGAGUUCUCUUUUAAUUACAGCAGUAACUACUUCACCUACACUUACUUUCUCUCUCUCAGCAAGCUUUCUUUUAUUGGUGCAAAGUUCUUUCAGAAAUUUUGCGUACCUGGGAAUCUGCUUAACAGCAUCUAGCAGAGGUAUGUUGAUUUUCACCUUUCUGAAGGUGUUAAGGAUCUCCUUUUCUUCCUUUUCUUUUUGUGUUCUUUCAAAUCUUUUUGAAAAAGGAGGUGGAAUCUGAAAUCUUACUUUUUGAUCAGUUUUGUGCUCAGGGAUGGGUUCAGAUUGCGCUGAAGGUGUUGCAGAUGCUUGCCCUUGCGCAAAUGGCUCUUCAGAAUGCGCUGGAGAGGCUUUUGAAUCAAUUGGUUUUUGCGCUUCUUGCUUUUCUUGCUCAUAACUAGCAUUUUGAAGCUCUUUUCCACUUCUCAAAGUGAUGGCACUAACAUUCUGUCUGGGAUUAGUUUCUGUUUGAGAAGAGAGCUUACCUUGGGUUUCAGAUUUGCUCAUUAGCUGUCCCACCUGUUGUUGGAGAGUCUGCACAGAAUUUGUAAGUGUUUCUAUCAUCCUUUCAAGGUGCUGAUUGGAACUUGAAGGUGUUGGUUGGGCCUGAUUCCUGUGGAAGUUCUGAUGGUUCUGAAUAUUGUUGGCCCUUCCAUAGCUGAAAUUGGGAUGGUCUCUCCAUCCUGGAUUGUAUGUGUUGGAAUAUGGAUCAUGUUUAGGCUGGUAGUUAUACCCUCCAAUGGCAUUUGCUUGUUGGUGGUCUUCUUGGAGUGUAGGACAUUGAUCAGUUGGAUGUCCCACAUAUGCACAAAUCCCACAUGGCCUAGGUGGCUGGGAUGCUUGAAUCUGUUGCACCAGUCCUAUGGCAAAAUCUUUCAUAACAGAUGUUAGUUCAGAAAUAGUAGGUGAACUUACCUCAUUGACUCCUCUCUGCAGUUGCUUUUCUUCUCCAUAUUACCUAGAUGAGGCUGCAAGUGUUGAGAUCAACUCUCGCAUCUCCCUAGGUGUCUUGUCUACAAUGGAUCCUCCACAAGCUACAUCAAUGAAUCUCCUUUCUGAAGGGGACAUUCCUCCAUAGAAGAACUGUAUGAGGGACCUGUUUGACAUAUGAUGUUGUGGACAACCUGUACAUAGUCUUUCAAACCUUUCCCAAUAAUCAUAUAAGUCCUCAGUUGAUUUCUGUCUUAUGUUAGUGAUCUCUCUUAUUAUGCCAAUUGAUUUAGAUGUUGGGAAGUAUUUGUUCAAAAAGGUUUGGACCAUAUCAUCCCAAGAAGUGAUAGAUCCAGGUGGCAAAUAAAAUAACCAAUCCUUAGCAUAGUCAUCUAAUGAAAAAGGAAAAGCUCUUAACUUAACAUGAUCUUCAGAGAUACCUUAAGGUCUCAUAGAUGAACAGACAAUAUUGAAUUCUUUCAAGUGCUUUUGUGGAUUUUCAUUUUGCAAACCUCUAAAUUUAGGGAGAAGAUGAAUCAAACCUGUUUUCAGUUCAAAUGGAACUGUCAGAGGUGGAUAGGUGAUGCAAAGUGGUGCAUGAUCACCUACAGGUGUUGCCAAUUCUCUCAUGGUUCUUUCUCUUUGUGCUUGGGGUCUAAUGGCUGGAUUUUCUUGAAUUAUUUGGUCUUGGACAGCAUGUCCAUUAUUGGCAGCAACUUGUGGAAUAUGUUCAGCCAUUUCAGGAGCUUGGUUGUGUGGUUGGAGUGUUUCAGAUGAAGCUUCUGCGCAAGAAGACUGCUCAGGCGCAAGUGCGGCUUCAGUUGUGUGUUUAGGCGCAGUGGCUUGCUUUCCUAGUCUUCUGAGAGUGCGUUCAAUUUUUGGAUCGUAAGGGAGAGUGUCCCUACGUUCAGAUCUGGUCAUGAAAGAAAAUUAAACAAGUAAAAUCAAUUCCCCGGCAACGGCGCCAAUUUUUGACUCGCGGUUGUCGAAGCCGAUCAAAAAUAACCUUUCUAGUUAUCAACAAUUUACAACUACAGAUAGUGGUAAAAGGAUCAAAUCCACAGAGAAUUGAUUACCAAUCUAUUUUUCUCAACAAGACCAAGAGAAUUAACUGAAAGCACAAUUGAAAGCAAGUAACUGAAAGCAUAAUAGAAGUAAAGUGCAGUAAAAGUAAAAAGGGGGGUUUUGAGAUUGAUUUGAUUAACAACUACUGAAAGCAAUUAAAUCACUACUGAAAGCAAUUAAACCAGCAACUAAUUAAAAUAAAAGAGAAUUCAAUAUGAGAAAGGUCUAGUUGAAGAUAUGGAUCCACCUUGGUUGUUUGGAUUGAUCAUUGAAACUUAGUUAUGGAGAUGGAAGACGCUUCUCACCACCAUUAUCUCUCCUUAUGAUUAAAUCAAUUAGGGAACGUCCUCUAAUUAAUUACUAAUUAACAAAUUGCCAAGGAAUGUCCUUGGGCCUUAGGCAUCAAAACAAUUGUCAAUUGCAUUAAGAAAUAGAGAGAUCCAAUCCUAGCUAUCCAAACGUAUGGAGAUAACGCUAGAUCAUACAAUUUUCUUGGGUUUGAUCCCAAGUGUUCUCAUGUAAGAAUAAUCUAAGUAAUUAUGGACUUAAAUUAUUCAAACUAACAAAUAAUUAUUUUGCAAUAAAAAAUCAACGUAGAUCUCAAUAACAAAAUAAUAUGAAAAUUAAAUAUGAAAUUGCAUGAAUAUUGAGUUCCCAAAAGUUAAACAAUAUUAGAUCAAGUCUCACAACCCAUUAAUCAACUAAAGUUUCAACCAAUAUUCAACUAGAUCAAAGAAACCAGCCACUCAUUGGCUGAAUUAAAAACAGAAAAAUAAAAGGGAAAAGAAAAGAAAGGAACCGAAGAGCUGAUUUCUUCCUUUGCGCAGAAGCUUGCGGAAUCGCCGAAUUGGAA
RNAcentral lists this long non-coding RNA (16421 nucleotides) under Manihot esculenta (cassava). RNAcentral's name for it is "long non-coding RNA (MESC_LNC004687)". Lineage: Eukaryota; Viridiplantae; Streptophyta; Magnoliopsida; Malpighiales; Euphorbiaceae. The record is from RNAcentral.